GUGCGUUGUGGCGAGGUGGAAGGCGGCGAACUCCGCCAUGGAGAUGAGGACCGAGAUCGCAUCGCCGGAUCUGAAGAGGCGGCAGGUGGAUUCGAGGCAGGCGAGAUUAGCGUGAGGGCGCCAAAGGGGACCAUAUGAGGCUUAUGUGCAUGUGUUGGUUGGCACUGAUGAAGCGGUUGACUGGGACGGGGGCAUGGCGGUUGAUGGGGAAGAGGAGGAGAAGGGGCAUCGAACCGUGGUCGGAGACCUGCCUG
This 254-nucleotide unclassified non-coding RNA is filed under the name Hevea brasiliensis (rubber tree). The record is from RNAcentral. Lineage: Eukaryota; Viridiplantae; Streptophyta; Magnoliopsida; Malpighiales; Euphorbiaceae.